UCCUCUAAUUUCUAAGUAGGUCUUAGCUAGGCUUCCAUAGAGAAUAUUAGAAUGGUUAAGGUUUACGAGGAAUAUGAUUCCCAAGGAGAAGAAGAAGAAGAUGGUCUGAAUAGGAAGAUGGUGUUGGUCUCAAAGAGCCUAAUGGUUCAAAUCAAAUCAGUAUAUCGAAUCGAUGAUUUACCAGAGUGGCUACUCCAAAGCAGAUUAGAGAGGCCAUGCAGGUUGAUUUAGCUCCCUUGUCAAGAGUCAUCUGCAGCUUGCUGGUUGCCUCUUUUGCCCACUGCUGUGCUGGACACAUACGAGAUGACCAUUAAAGAGCGAGAAGUGGCCCUUGAAGAACGUGACCGAUCUAGGAGGGAUUUCAAAAAAAUUAAGGAUAUCCUGAACAAGCUAAUGGUUGAGGUGCAAAGUGUUCGUUGUCGUGUCCCUCCUAUGUGCAAGACUUACGGGUUUCGCAACAACUAAGUAAUGCAUGUGGUGUAUUUUUCACAUUGUAUAUUAAUUAUGCAUCCAUUGUAUUAUGAUGA
Prunus avium (sweet cherry) is the source of this 527-nucleotide non-coding RNA. NCBI's taxonomy places the organism in Eukaryota, Viridiplantae, Streptophyta, Magnoliopsida, Rosales, Rosaceae. The record is from RefSeq and is a predicted model, not a curated record.